This 406-nucleotide ribosomal RNA is filed under the name uncultured bacterium. RNAcentral's name for it is "partial 16S ribosomal RNA". It matches the Rfam family "Bacterial small subunit ribosomal RNA", at positions 30 to 526 of the family's 1533-position model. The record is from RNAcentral.
AUUGAACGCUGGCGGCAGGCCUACCACAUGCAAGUCGAACGAGUGGCGGACGGGUGUGUAAUGUCUGGGAAACUGCCUGAUGGAGGGGGAUAACUCCUGGAACCGGUAGCUAAUACCGCAUACCAUCAGAUGUGCCCAGAUGGGAUUAGCUAGUUGGUGGGGUAACGGCUCACCAAGGCGACGGUCCCUAGCUGGUCUGAGAGGUUGACCAGCAACACUGGAACUGAGACAUGGUCCAGACUCCGACGUGAGGCAGCAGUGGGGAAUAUUGCAUAUUGGGCGCAAGCCUGAUGCAGCCAUGCCGCGUGUAUGAAGAAGGCCUUCGGGUUGUAAAGUACGUUCAGCGGGGAGGCGUUACCCGCAGAGGAAGCACCGGCUAACUCCGGGCCAGCCGCCGCGGUAAUUC